Pipra filicauda (Wire-tailed manakin) is the source of this 6821-nucleotide long non-coding RNA. RefSeq lists it as uncharacterized. The record is from RefSeq and is a predicted model, not a curated record. The transcript is spliced from 3 exons. Lineage: Eukaryota; Metazoa; Chordata; Aves; Passeriformes; Pipridae.
AAAACUAGUGUGUUUAUCUGAUAGAUUAUUUGUGAUAUAAUCAAUUGUUAGUUCAAGGACUCUGUUGCUGGUGUUAUGACAAGCUGUCUAGCCUGAAGUUCAUGAUGGUACCAAAAUAUCCAGAGCCAGUAGUCUAACCUGCCUUAAUCAUAAUUUAACCCCCCUAGUGUUAAUUAUCACUAUGACACCAGUUUAGGUGUCACAACUAAGAGCAAUAUUAUGCCUUUACCUUUGUUCUGGUGGGAAUGUGUAGCUAAUUUUCAAAUGCUAAACACCAGCCCAGAUGUUCAGCUGCUGGUGACCCAAGGCUUGUUUUUGUGGUGGCACAGCUGUAAUGCCAUGGCUGAGUUUUACUUAGAAAGUUGUUGUCCAGAUGAUGCAAGAAAGAAUGUAAACCAUGUUAAAGUAAGUUCAGAGGCAGAAGUGAAAUUGUAGAGGCAGUAAUGGUUAGUUGGAAAACACUGAGGAAGGGCAGAAGUUGCAACACCCUCAGAAAGAAGGCAGAGACUCAGCAGACAGCACGGUGGCCAGAUGAGCGAUCGUGGCCCUCUCCAAAGAGGCAUGGAAGUGAAAACUCCCCUCUUGACCAACAGCUGCCUGCCUGCCCACCCAGCAAUAGCUGAAGUAGCCUGUAUUUAAGUACUUAUGUCAUAGUUAACGCUUGAGUAAUACUUAGCUGAGUAGCCUGUUAGUUGUACCUGCCUCAUGUGUGUGUUAGUUGAUACAAACAACUGUGGUUGUUGCUGUGUGGUUUUAACCCUUGUGGUCUUUUGGCAUAGUACAAGGUGCCCAACAAACAAUGACCCAUUGAGAAGAGAUUGCAGGUGUACUGUACAGUAAAGGACAUGGAGUCCCACCUGGCAGGACUAAUACAAUAGGAUCUGAACAAGAACUGAAAUUUCUGCCCAUCACCUGGUUUGAUUUACAUUUUGCCUCUACAGGGAUGGUUAGAAGGUAAACAAGUGUUGAUUCUUAAUGCUUAUGCUACUGGUAUUGGUGAUAGAACAUUAAACCCUACUAAAUAUUUUUGGGAUCAUAGGUAAAAUGAUGGAAGGGAUGCAAAUAUUCUGUAAAAAUUGUUCUUUCAGAUCAAUACCCGGGAGGGGAUGCACCAUGCAUUAUUUCUCCCCAAAUAAAUCACAGAUCCCCUAAUCUUCCAGCUGUGCGACCGCUGAUGGAGUGGCCACCAGGAUCGUAUCACUGUUUGCAGACGUUCCUCAAAGCAACUGAAACGAGACAUUCUCCAAAGUUAAAGACAGCAAGAUUAAUUUAUUAACUAUAACCAAAGGCAAAGAAAUCGAGCAUUGCGUGCUAAUAAUAAAUUGUAAGCAUACCAGUGAAGGCAGGAAACUGCAAUAAAAAUACGGUAGACACAGAACGAGACUGUGCGUCAAAGGAGUCCCUGUCGCCCGUGGGAAAAGCUCUCCGCUCCUCCGCAGCACCUGUGGAGCAGGGUCAGGAGCGCGGUGAGUUGUUUAAGUGUGCCAUCUAGUGACUGAGGACUGCUCGUGGGCAAGGCACAAACAGCGCCUUCGUGUAAGAAUUCCUCGCGUUUCUCUGCUUCAGAACAUCUCUAUGUUACUGCGGUUGCUGGUAAUCUGGUUACUGGAGAAGGUAAGAGAGCUCAGCCUCUAGAGUCGACUUAUUCUCAGGUGGAGUCACUGAGCAUUCAACAGUGAUAAUCUGUAAUCUGUGAAAUAACUGCCUUACCCUGUGGGUGCCACAGUCAAUUCCUCAUUUGUGAAGAAAUGUGGAUAUGGGGGGGAAGGGGUAUGGAGGUGUGACACAUAAUUAUUUUAUCAUACUCCUUUUUUUUGGUUCCUUUUUAACCAGAGUGGAGAAUUAUCUCAAAUACAGUGAUUUUGUCUUCAUGAGCAGGAUGAAGUUCCUUCUCAAGGUAUAGCCCUAAAGACCCUGGAGAAACCAUAGAAUAAAAAGAAAUUAAAUGGGUAUGAACUGUAUUUCCCAUCAUAGCAAAAGAGGUUGAAGUUUGUGUUUGUGCCAUCCCACUGAUGUUGUGCUGAAACCGCUGAGGCUGCUGGGGAAUUCCAGCUGCAAUCCUUGAUGACUGGCACUCCUUCACUGACACUUCUCUGGUAGCUCCCCUUCCCUUGCUCUGUUGGUACCUUCUGCACAGGCAAGUUAAAAAGCUAAAUAUGUUAGCUGCAAAAAAAUAACCGAGUUGAUUUAGCUCCUACUGAUGUAUAGAACCACCAAAUAGUGGACCAAACAAGCUUUUCUUGGGGACAUACACAAUGCAGAUUUUACACAUAAGGAAAAAAAAAGGCAUUUUGCUCAUUGAGAGCAUUACUUAACAUAUUUUAUGUUAAGGAAUGCUUAACAUAUUUUCCAUGAGAAAUACUUUUUUUUUCUGAUAAUUAUUUUCACAACUAGAAAAUUCACAUCUGCCAUAAUAUGACCUUUUUUGUGCUCUAGAAAAGCAAGAUGGGUAUUGAUUAUCCGAAAAAAAAAUAUUGUUUGAAAGACAGGACAGUGUAGAAUACAGACCUAUGUGUUCUUCCACCUGCAAUACAGGAAAUACAGGAGGAGACACAAGAGCCAGGGGAAACACCACAUUGCAUAUACUUGCCAUUUUCAAGCAUUACCGAUAGCUGGAAAAGAGAAAAAACCCUGCAAGUGCCUCAGGGAUGGGGACAGCUGUUGCACAUUGCUAAAAAGUCAGCUUGUAGCUUCCCAGGACUACAGGACAGACAGGGCGAAGAUAGUAGGCCAAAUUUUACUAAUCAUCUCUCAUGGCAAUUUUUUUAAUGUUACACAAUUGCAGGGGUUCUUCACCAGCUUCAGGUGGCUGAGGAAUGCAGUCAGAAGAUGUGAAAAUUUGAAAGUAAUUAAUGACAUGAUUUUAAUGACAAACCAAACAGUCACUCUUGUCUCACUUCUCCUUAGGAGAGGGUUUCAACAGAGAUUGCUUGCUCAUGUGGAGGGAAAGCAGCGGUAGCAAGUCUCCUCUCAGCUACAAAAGUUUACAGAGAGGAUUUGCAAUAGUGUCAGGGAAAUCUCUUUAGACUGUUGGUGGAAAUCCAGCUUGAGGAUGGGAUAAGAGACCACUAUUAGCUUCCAGAAGCUGGCUGGUUUUCUGACACAUAAAUUAUACUGACAGCAAAGACAAUUGUGACCUCACAGCUACUUACCUGAGGGCUAAGAGCUGCCUUGGGUCCUCAGCAGGCAGCCAAACAAGGUAGCAUCGCACAAGGAGACUUUGUCAGACAUGCCCUGUUUUGGUGGUAGGGGCUCUUCUCUCCAGGCAAUUUAUGGGAAGGAGACUGUGACUUUUGGGCCUUCAGUAAGAGAAUUUCAAAGGGAGGAAGAAGCAUGAAAGAAGGGGUUGCCCAGUAGAAAGCAGCACGUAACCUAAAGAAUAAGAGAAGAAGAAAGAAACUGUUUGUUGAGCUUUAUCUACUUAAAGUUAUCCACAGACAGGCAACAGGCAGGACUUGGUCUGGCAGAUGACCCAACAGCUUUGAUCUUCCUUGCUUAUGCAGUGUGGGUUCUUCAGCAACUCCCAAGGCAGCUGGCACUGCAGAAAAAAAUAACCCCUGAGUUGCCAGGUGUGUCUUUUGUAACACAAUAGCUGCUCAGUAAGAAUCAGAGGGAAAUGGCCAACGUAUUUCUGUGAAAUAAUGGUUACUUGACCAGAGCUUGAAAUUUGACCUUUUUUGGAAGUAAAAGAUAAGGUAUAUAGGGAAAAUAAACAGUUUCUCAAAAAUAAGCAACCAUCUCCAAUCAAAAUCAUGAAUUUUAAUGUGCUGGCCCCUCUCCCUUGCUCAUGCUCUUAUUUUCAUAUUGCAUAUGAGCAGCAAGGGGUACAGGAGAGGGAAAAGAAGAUGCUCUCACAUCUUUUGGGAUUUGGCUUAAGAGACACUGUCUAUAACCAAAGCAACCAGUUCAAACAUGAACAAUUUCUUCUGAAGCACAGAAGCUGCAGCAGCUGAUGUCAUGAACAAAAGUAGGCAGGUAAACAGAAAUAGAGCAAUGGAAAAGGAGAUAUGAGACUCACAGCCCUGAAUUUCACAAGCAGCAGUAGUUCAUAAGCAAUGAGCUAUAAAAAGCAAAACUGACCAAGAAAGGGAGUCAUCAUCAGCUUCAAUGAAAAUGCACAUCUCUACCACCUCUGUGUAGCAUUUCUGGCAGCAUGAAUGCUACUUUAUGGGCUUAGACACAAAUCACAAAUGCUUCCUCUGUGAAAGAAGAAGAGCAAGCUCUAUUUAAGUUCAUCCAAAAAUGCACUGAGAGGAGAAAGCUCCAAAUAAUUAUGGUACCGGAAGCAUUCAAAACAGGUUACCUAAGUCAGAGAUAUUAAUCCAGUAAGAGAAUUCCCAAGUGCUGAAUCACAUGUUCCUGAAACACAAUUCCUAUCUCAGUGCAAACAGUUGCCAUAGGUAUCUGUGGACAUGCGAGAAGACAGCUGCCCAGGAAGAACCACGUUACUGUCCUAGGGCUUCAUGGGGCAGCCUUUCUGCCUGAAGGAUGCUGCUUGACAAAGCUUUGGUAGAUGAGAUGCCAUUUAAAGCUUCCCUCCCCUGGCUGCCUUGCUUUUUUGUGGGAGGUGCUGCCUGGAGGUCUCAGGGGUUUGAAGGCAAGGCCGUGACAAAAGGCAAAGAAAAGCCCCAAGUGCCAUUUGUGGACAAGCAGAGCUUACUUACUACAGUCUGUGUCACUGCUCCCAUGGCAGAAACUGGACCACUCCCAGACUGCCUGCUCACGAGGAGCGGGCUCUUCUCCUUGUCUGGAGCUGUCAAGUCACACCCUCCUUGUCAAUAGCCACAGUGCACUCACAGCGGCAGGACUAAUGACACCCUUGGGUGGAGUCGGCUCCCAGAGAUUAAAUCUGAUCCUCUCCCUCACAAGCUUCAUGGUGACAGGGCACUAAUGCACCGAGCUGUACUAGUGCCAUGCUCUAAGCUAUGAGGGUAGCAUCAUUUACCAGAAAAAAUAUCUGCUUUAGACCAGUUAAUGUUAUCCAAUAACACAUAGAGGUGGUGAUGAUCAGGAUUAUAUCAAUAGCUGAAACUAAGGUAGAAAAUUCUGUUGUGUUUUCCAACUACAUUUGUUUCUCCCAUGUACACACCUGGUUUCCUAAUCAAUUUUCUACCUGCACAUCCUUUCUUUCUAAAUACUGCAGGCAUUCACAUUCCUAGGAAUGCUCUGAAGGAUCAAAACAUACAUUUUAAAGCUUGCAGAACUCAGGCUAAAGCCCUAACCUAUUUAUGGCCUCCUUUUAUGGAUAAUAGAAACCAGUAAUUCUGGGAAAGUCUACACUGACAGGAAGAAGAAAGAAAUGCAGCAAUUUCAAAAUAAAAAAAAAAAUUCUUCAUAGUCCUGGAAGAUAAUGGUUCAUUUUUUCAAAACUAACAUUAAAAAGUACAACUCUGCAGAGAAUCAAUCUAAAAAAUACUAGAAGGCCCUACAUAGCAGAUACCAAUACUGAAAGGAUAGUAAUAGACCUCUGGGGAAACCAAGCAUGCCACCUUCAUGCCAAGGAAAUUAGUCCUUCUACCAUUAGCCUUUACAUAGGUUUUGAUGUUAUACCAUGUGUUAAUUAUUUCCAAAUCACAAGUGCAAACACUCACCCUGAUUGGAAAAUUAGCAGAUUUCAAACUCAGGUAAUUUCCCCCUAAUGAGGAACUUGUUGAACUGAAUUUAACAAUUAGCUCACACCCUUUGCUGGCUGGGUAUGCAAAGGCUACAAGGAGACACAGAAACUCAAAAGUCACCUUUUUCAGUAAUUUGCAAUAAAGGAUUAAUAUAAAUUUAAAGCUGUUUCCAUGCUUUGGAAUGGAAAGCUUCUAGUUCCUCCUUUGGUUCUUAAGGCAAUGACUUUCAAAGGGUGAUAGAGGAGGAGGUGCUACCUAUACUGAAUAGUUCUCCCUUGUUUUCUAGCCUUUCUGCUCUAGAUCAGUUCCUUUGGGUAGCUUUCGUUACUUACCAAGCCUCUGCAAAAUGGAUUUCACAGCUUAAAAAGGUUAAACUUUUGAUUUAUUGGUCAACAUACAAAGCGUGUAGGCAGAGCUAACAAGUUAAAGUACUCACCACCCCUGAUAAGGCACCCGAGGAGCCCUGGCUGGCCGAGUUUACUUUCAAUUCUAGAGGAGACGAGUUGGCUUUUGUGGCCACUUGGAAAGGGCUGAUUGUUGACAUUGCUCAACUGCCAUUCUUGGGCUAGUUGGUUUUGUUUCUGUAGGAUUUCACAUGCUUUUCAUAUUGUUUUUUCUUGUUAAGAACCCUUGAGCUGCUAAUUAUCCCUGUGUCAACACUGCCCUUUACCAGGCAUCUUACCUUUCUCCUUAUGGCUCUGCUCUGCAGAAGAUCUCUCAGUGCUUCUGCACAGCUUAGCAGUUCUCCAAGAGGUCUGAACCAAUUUCAGCUGGUAACAAAACCAUUCCUUAGUUCCCAGAUGGCAUCUGUGAUAUGAUGCCUGAGUCUCUGAAGGGGAAACUGACACUUUUCAGCUGCUAAAUUGCAUUAAAGGAAACAAAAGUAGUUCUAUCCUACCUUUAGUUUUCUACAUAUGCUGUGACCUACCUGCAGAAUGGAUGCUGGACAGACAGGUCUUAAAGAAUGUGGUCUAUUUGUAGUUGUCAAGAGACCAGAUAUCCACAAAUGAAAGGGAUGCUCUCUCCCUAGAACUGACCAAAACUGUCCAAAACAUUCCCAAAAUCUGUCUGAUUUCUCCCACAAAACUGUAAAAGUUAUUAAAUAAAUUCUUCUUCCUGUUUUUCAAUGCACUUUCUGCAGCAGAGUUUUCCUUGUUUGAAGAACAAUAAAAAUAUUGCGAGAUUUCAAGCUACCUUAGCAGCAUG